ACCCAGACCGCCAGCUAAGGUCCCAAAGUCAUGGUUAAGUGGGAAACGAUGUGGGAAGGCCCAGACAGCCAGGAUGUUGGCUUAGAAGCAGCCAUCAUUAAAGAAAGCGUAAUAGCUCACUGGUCGAGUCGGCCUGCGCGGAAGAUGUAACGGGGCUAAACCAUGCACCGAAGCUGCGGCAGCGAACGUAUCACCCAAGACAACUUUACGGAGUUGACGAUUGACGGAGCGAAGCGACGUCAAAGCGUUCAUUAAAGUCGAGUUGGCUUAGGGAUACGUUCGUUGGGUAGGGGAGCGUUCUGUAAGCCUGUGAAGGUGUGUCGUGAGGCAUGCUGGAGGUAUCAGAAGUGCGAAUGCUGACAUAAGUAACGAUAAAGCGGGUGAAAAGCCCGCUCGCCGGAAGACCAAGGGUUCCUGUCCAACGUUAAUCGGGGCAGGGUGAGUCGACCCCUAAGGCGAGGCCGAAAGGCGUAGUCGAUGGGAAACGGGUUAAUAUUCCCGUACUUGGUGUUACUGCGAAGGGGGGACGGAGAAGGCUAUGUUGGCCGGGCGACGGUUGUCCCGGUUUAAGCGUGUAGGUGUGUGUUCCAGGUAAAUCCGGUUCACUUUAACACUGAGGCGUGAUGACGAGGCACUACGGUGCUGAAGCAACAAAUGCCCUGCUUCCAGGAAAAGCCUCUAAGCAUCAGGUAACAUCAAAUCGUACCCCAAACCGACACAGGUGGUCAGGUAGAGAAUACCAAGGCGCUUGAGAGAACUCGGGUGAAGGAACUAGGCAAAAUGGUGCCGUAACUUCGGGAGAAGGCACGCUGACACGUAGGUGAAGUGAUUUACUCAUGGAGCUGAAGUCAGUCGAAGAUACCAGCUGGCUGCAACUGUUUAUUAAAAACACAGCACUGUGCAAACACGAAAGUGGACGUAUACGGUGUGACGCCUGCCCGGUGCCGGAAGGUUAAUUGAUGGGGUCAGCGCAAGCGAAGCUCCUGAUCGAAGCCCCGGUAAACGGCGGCCGUAACUAUAACGGUCCUAAGGUAGCGAAAUUCCUUGUCGGGUAAGUUCCGACCUGCACGAAUGGCGUAAUGAUGGCCAGGCUGUCUCCACCCGAGACUCAGUGAAAUUGAACUCGCUGUGAAGAUGCAGUGUACCCGCGGCAAGACGGAAAGACCCCGUGAACCUUUACUAUAGCUUGACACUGAACAUUGAGCCUUGAUGUGUAGGAUAGGUGGGAGGCUUUGAAGCGUGGACGCCAGUCUGCGUGGAGCCGACCUUGAAAUACCACCCUUUAAUGUUUGAUGUUCUAACGUGGACCCGUGAUCCGGGUUGCGGACAGUGUCUGGUGGGUAGUUUGACUGGGGCGGUCUCCUCCUAAAGAGUAACGGAGGAGCACGAAGGUUGGCUAAUCCUGGUCGGACAUCAGGAGGUUAGUGCAAUGGCAUAAGCCAGCUUGACUGCGAGCGUGACGGCGCGAGCAGGUGCGAAAGCAGGUCAUAGUGAUCCGGUGGUUCUGAAUGGAAGGGCCAUCGCUCAACGGAUAAAAGGUACUCCGGGGAUAACAGGCUGAUACCGCCCAAGAGUUCAUAUCGACGGCGGUGUUUGGCACCUCGAUGUCGGCUCAUCACAUCCUGGGGCUGAAGUAGGUCCCAAGGGUAUGGCUGUUCGCCAUUUAAAGUGGUACGCGAGCUGGGUUUAGAACGUCGUGAGACAGUUCGGUCCCUAUCUGCCGUGGGCGCUGGAGAACUGAGGGGGGCUGCUCCUAGUACGAGAGGACCGGAGUGGACGCAUCACUGGUGUUCGGGUUGUCAUGCCAAUGGCACUGCCCGGUAGCUAAAUGCGGAAGAGAUAAGUGCUGAAAGCAUCUAAGCACGAAACUUGCCCCGAGAUGAGUUCUCCCUGAGACUUAAAGUCUCCUGAAGGAACGUUGAAGACGACGACGUUGAUAGGCCGGGUGUGUAAGCGCAGCGAUGCGUUGAGCUAACCGGUACUAAUGAACCGUGAGGCUUAACCUUACAACGCCGAAG
RNAcentral lists this ribosomal RNA (2018 nucleotides) under Salmonella enterica. Its description in RNAcentral is "partial 23S ribosomal RNA". It matches the Rfam family "Bacterial large subunit ribosomal RNA", at positions 1025 to 2925 of the family's 2925-position model. The record is from RNAcentral. Lineage: Bacteria; Pseudomonadati; Pseudomonadota; Gammaproteobacteria; Enterobacterales; Enterobacteriaceae.